UACGGAGGGUGCAAACGUUGCUCGGAAUCAUUGGGCGUAAAGCGCACGUAGGUGGCUUGUUAAGUCGGGUGUGAAAUCCCUGGGCUCAACCCAGGAAGUGCACUCGAAACUGGCGAGCUUGAGUACUGAAGAGGGUCGCGGAAUUCCCGGUGUAGAGGUGAAAUUCGUAGAUAUCGGGAGGAACACCAGUGGCGAAGGCGGCGACCUGGGCAGAUACUGACGCUGAGGAGCGAAAGCAUGGGGAGCGAACAGG
RNAcentral lists this ribosomal RNA (253 nucleotides) under uncultured bacterium. Its description in RNAcentral is "partial 16S ribosomal RNA". It matches the Rfam family "Bacterial small subunit ribosomal RNA", at positions 524 to 776 of the family's 1533-position model. The record is from RNAcentral.